This 3030-nucleotide ribosomal RNA is filed under the name Ilyonectria sp. RNAcentral describes it as "large subunit ribosomal RNA". It matches the Rfam family "Bacterial large subunit ribosomal RNA". Lineage: Eukaryota; Fungi; Ascomycota; Sordariomycetes; Hypocreales; Nectriaceae. The record is from RNAcentral.
UACUUGAUAUAUAAAUUAUAAUUAUAUAAAUUAAGCAUUAAUGAUGUUUAUAUAAUUUAUACAAGUAUGGAAAGAAAUUAUUAUAGAAUUUAAGCUAUAUAUUAAAGAGAAUUAUUUAUAUAAAUGUAUAUAAUAUAUGCAUGAUAUAUAUUAACUCUAAGAGAAAUUAAAUAAUAAACGAAGUGAAUUGAAAUAUCUUAGUAACUUUAGGAAAAGAAAUCAAAAGAGAUUCUAUGAUUAGCGUGAGCUAAAGUAGACAAGCCUAAAAAGUAAAAUGGUUAAUAAACUGUUUAAAUUAAAUGGGGAACCUUCCUCAAAGGCUAAAUAUAAUAUAUAAGCGAUAGUGGAAAGUACCGUGAGGGAACUAAAAGAAAAAUAGUGAUUUUAUAAGCAGUUCGGAAAAAUAAAAAAGUUAGAACGUACCUUUUGCAUAAUGGGUCACCAAGUUAACAUUAGAUGCGAGAUUAUACGUAGUUAAACCGAGCGUUAAAAUAACGUAAAGUGUCUAAAGUUAGACCCGAAGCCUGGUGAUUUUACCAUAAUCAGGAUUAUAAAAGUCCGAACGGAUUAUUGUAGCAUAAAUAUCCGAAGAAUUAUGGUAGGUGUAGUGAAAGACAAUACUGACCAGGAUAGCUGGUUUUCUGCGAAACCUAUAAUAGUAGGCAAUUUAAGUAUAAUAUCUUAGCAGGUACAGAAUUUAAUCUCAGACAAGACAUUAAAUGUUUUAUUUUGUACAAAUGGGGGGAUCAUGAAGAUUUUAUCCGUGAGUAUGCAGACUCGGAAUGGCAAAGAUAUAUCUUAAAUUAUCAGACAUAGAAUGAUAAGGUUGUAUGUCAAAAGGGAAACAGCCCAGAACAAGAGUUAAGGUUCCUAAAUUAUUCGUUGAGUGAAAUUAAGAAGGUUUUUAUUAAAGUCGACAAGGAGAUAGGCUUAGAAGCAGCCAUAAUUUUAUGACCUCGUAACAGAGCGCUUGUUAAGUUUUAAAAGCAUCGAAAAUUUAUCGGAUCUAAACAAUAUACCGAAACCUUGUCCAUAAUAAUUUAUAAUAAUAAUUUAUAUUAUAAUUAAAUGGGGUAGCAGAACGUUGAGCUGAAUUAUGAUUUUUAUUUUUUAAAUAAAAUUAUAACAAUUUAACUCAAGCGAUAAUGGUGACAUGAGUAACUAAAAGAAAAUUUUCCGCCUAAAGCUUAUGGAUAUAAUUAAGUAUCGGCCUCUAAGUUUAUAUUAUCUAAAGAUUUAAACGAUGAGAUAAUCUUUAUUACUAAGGACGACAUUUUAAGUGAAAAAUGUACUGGAAAAAUAGUAAUAUAUUUAUAUAUCUCCAUGUUGGUUUCACAACAAGGAGUGUAUAAAUGAAAAGUAACCGUACCUAGAAUCUGAAACAAGUAAGCUAGUAGAGAAUACGAAGGCGUAAAUGAGCUAACAAUCAUAAAGGAACUCGGCAAAUUGACUACCGUAACUUCGGGAUAAGGAGAGCUCAUUAUUCUUGAUUAAUAUCAAGUAAAGAGGAAGAAGCAUGAAAUAGUGUUGUACGACUGUUUAAUUAAAACACAGCACUUUGCUGAAAGAUUAAAAAUCUAAGUAUAGAGUGUGAUGUCUGCCCGGUGCCGGCUGGUUAACAGAUAUAAUUGGAUAUACUAAUAUCUGAUGUAGACGGAAACCCCGGUUAAAGGCGGCCUUAACGUGAGGGUCCUAAGGUAGCGAAAUGCCUUGGCCGUUAAAUGCGGUCUUGCAUGAAUGAUGUAACGAUACAACAGCUGUCUCUAUGAUUGACUCAGUGAAAUUGGAAUAGCUGUGCAGAUACAGUUUACCUCUAGUUAGACGAGAAGACCCUAUGCAGCUUUACUGUCACUAAUUAUAGAGUAUGAUAAACAAUUUUCAGUUUAUAAGGUAAUUGACUAGAUAACAAUGAGAAUCCUUUAUUUUUUUUUCAUAUGAAUGAAUUGAUUUAGGAUUAUGAGAUGUUUUUAUAACAACUCAUUUUAGUAAAUCAGCCUAGUUCAGCUUAUUUUUAUAAUAUAAGUACCCUUUGGUGAGGAACUAUCGCUAGGGGACAGUUUAUGUGGGGCACAGACCCUGUAAAGAGUAAACAGGAGUGUCUAAUAAUUUAAAAUUAUUUUGUUUGCGAUUUAAGGUAGUUUAACUAUUUUUAAUCAUAUAAAAUUAUUUAUAUGUACAUUCUAUGCUUUGUCAUAAGUCUGUAUAUAUAUUUAAAAAAAGGUAGGAUUUUCACUAUAUAGAAAUUAGAGAUAAUUAGAAAUAUUAUGUACUUAGUGACUAAUAUUUUUUAACUAUUAAUAAUAGUUAUGUUUUAAAUAUCUAAAAAGCUCAACGGCUUAAUCUUGCCUUACUGUUUGAUUAUCAACAAAUCUUACAGUUGCGUAAGCAGGGCAUAGGAUCACAAGAUGCAACAAGGAAAGAUCUUGGAUUAUUGGAAAAGCUACGCUAGGGAUGAACAGGCUAAUUUGCGCAAGAGUGUACAAAAUGAGUGCGCGGUUUGGCACCUCGAUGUCGGCUUAACUUAUCCUCAUGGAUGCAGGAACUAUGUAGGGUGCGACUGUUCGUCGAUUAAAAAGUUACAUGAGCUGGGUUAAAUACGUCGUGAGACAGUAUGGUUUCUAUCUUCUAGGGGGAAUUAGAAUAUAAUAAGAACUAACUUUUGUACGAAAGGAACAGGAAGAAUUAAACUUGUAAAAGGGUUAAAUAAUAGUUACUAAUCUAUGGUUUACCUGUUGUCUAUGUGCCCAAAUAUUAAAUAUAUUAAUUUAUAUCUGUAUUUUUAUACAUAGGGAUGUUUCUUUCACUAAGAUAAAUGUAUAGCAUAGGCACGGCAGGAAAGCUAAGUUGGUUAAAGAUAAGUGCUGAAAGCAUAUAGGCACGAAGCUUAUCUUAAGAUAUUUCUUAAAUAUGCGUAAUAGAUUAUUACGAAGGCGCAAGCCAAUUAUAGGCUUUAUCCGUACUAAUCUUGAGAUUUUAAAGAAUAAAGUACUAAUUUCAUAAAUUACUAUUUAUAAAUAUAUCAUUCAAAAA